CCCUUCUUUCAAGCCAUGUUAUUUUGUGAGAGCAUGAGGCCUUUUUUCAGGAUUGAGCUUGGUAGAACGUGUUAGGUUGGAGCCGACAAGAGUAGUAUCUCAUGUGGUUCCAAUCCGCGUUUUCGGACUUGGUAGGAGUAGGUGGGAACUUAUUUGGGGAUUGAGAUUGAGUGUGAAAAGGAAAAAAAAA
RNAcentral lists this small RNA (190 nucleotides) under Arabidopsis thaliana (thale cress). Its description in RNAcentral is "ATSL094110". Lineage: Eukaryota; Viridiplantae; Streptophyta; Magnoliopsida; Brassicales; Brassicaceae. The record is from RNAcentral.